RNAcentral lists this ribosomal RNA (253 nucleotides) under uncultured bacterium. RNAcentral's name for it is "partial 16S ribosomal RNA". It matches the Rfam family "Bacterial small subunit ribosomal RNA", at positions 524 to 776 of the family's 1533-position model. The record is from RNAcentral.
UACGAAGGGGGCUAGCGUUGCUCGGAAUCACUGGGCGUAAAGGGCUCGUAGGCGGCCAACUAAGUCGGAUGUGAAAUCCCCAGGCUCAACCUGGGAACUGCAUCCGAUACUGGAUGGCUUGAAUUCGGGAGAGGGAUGCAGAAUUCCAGGUGUAGCGGUGAAAUGCGUAGAUAUCUGGAGGAAUACCGGUGGCGAAGGCGGCAUCCUGGACCGACAUUGACGCUGAGGAGCGAAAGCCAGGGGAGCAAACGGG